Molecule: ribosomal RNA, 821 nt
Filed under: uncultured bacterium
Lineage: Bacteria
Description: bacterial SSU rRNA
Rfam family: Bacterial small subunit ribosomal RNA
Source: RNAcentral
UNUGACUUGAGUGCAGAAGGGGAGAGUGGAAUNCCAUGUGUAGCGGUGAAAUGCGUAGAUAUAUGGAGGANCACCAGUGGCGAAAGCGGCUCUCUGNUCUGUCACUGACGCUGAGGCUCGAAAGCGUGGGUAGCGAACAGGAUUAGAUACCCUGGUAGUNCACGCCGUAAACGAUGAGUGCUAGGUGUUAGGCCCUUUCCGGGGCUUAGUGCCGGAGCUAACGCAAUAAGCACUCCGCCUGGGGAGUACGACCGCAAGGUUGAAACUCAAAGGAAUUGACGGGGGCCCGCACAAGCGGUGGAGCAUGUGGUUUAAUUCGAAGCAACGCGAAGAACCUUACCAGGUCUUGACAUCCCGAUGCUAUUCUUAGAGAUAGGAAGUUACUUCGGUACAUCGGAGACAGGUGGUGCAUGGUUGUCGUCAGCUCGUGUCGUGAGAUGUUGGGUUAAGUCCCGCAACGAGCGCAACCCUUAUUGUUAGUUGCCAUCAUUAAGUUGGGCACUCUAGCGAGACUGCCGGUAAUAAACCGGAGGAAGGUGGGGAUGACGUCAAAUCAUCAUGCCCCUUAUGACCUGGGCUACACACGUGCUACAAUGGUCGGUACAACGAGUUGCGAGCCGGUGACGGCAAGCUAAUCUCUGAAAGCCGAUCUCAGUUCGGAUUGGAGGCUGCAACUCGCCUCCAUGAAGUCGGAAUCGCUAGUAAUCGCGGCUCAGCACGCCGCGGUGAAUACGUUCCCGGGCCUUGUACACACCGCCCGUCACACCACGAGAGUUUGUAACACCCGAAGUCGGUGAGGUAACCUUUUAGGGGCCAGCCGC